AUACCCUGGUAGUCCACACCGUAAACGCUGUCUACUAGCUGUGUGUGAAUUUAAUUCGUGCGUAGCGAAGCUAACGCGCUAAGUAGACCGCCUGGGGAGUACGGCCGCAAGGUUAAAACUCAAAUGAAUUGACGGGGGCCCGCACAAGCGGUGGAGCAUGUGGUUUAAUUCGAUGCAACGCGAAGAACCUUACCUACACUUGACAUGCAGAGAACUUUCUAGAGAUAGAUUGGUGCCUUCGGGAACUCUGACACAGGUGCUGCAUGGCUGUCGUCAGCUCGUGUCGUGAGAUGUUGGGUUAAGUCCCGCAACGAGCG
Molecule: ribosomal RNA, 317 nt
Filed under: uncultured bacterium
Lineage: Bacteria
Description: bacterial SSU rRNA
Rfam family: Bacterial small subunit ribosomal RNA
Source: RNAcentral